Anas platyrhynchos (mallard) is the source of this 8811-nucleotide long non-coding RNA. RefSeq lists it as uncharacterized. Lineage: Eukaryota; Metazoa; Chordata; Aves; Anseriformes; Anatidae. The record is from RefSeq and is a predicted model, not a curated record.
CCUAAAGCUGAAGCUCACUCUUUAACCAGCCUUUCUAUAUCUCAUUUCACCUUUUGGUCUAAGCCAGACAGGGCUUCACCAGCAGGUGAGGAGGACUGGUGUUGGCUCCUGCCAACCACGACCAGAGGCAUGAUUCUGCAGACACAUCCCUGCAGUGGGAGAAGGUUCAGACCCAACUGAAGAGGAGUUCCUGAGGUGAAAUGAGCACCCAGGGAAGGAUUUUGUCAGGCUGGAUUAGAAGUUAACAGCAGACACUGCAGCUGAUGAGGGUGGGAGGAUUUUCUAUCUGAGGUUGGCAAGGGUACGCUAACGAGUAUCAUCUGAAUUAGGUAACGAUGUGCUUCCGUGUAGGGUUGCCUAACUCUCUUGCUGUGCUUUCAAGCUGAACAUAUGUUUUCAAUUAUUAACAUGAUUAAUGGGAAUGAGGUGACUUGAAUCCCAAUGAGCUCUAUCCUACCAUUGCAUGCACAGUCCACAAUAUGGUAAUGUUUAUGCAGUGUGGAAGUGCACGAUUUGCUCCACUGGGAGGGCUCUUCAGAGGCACAGGUGCCUAACCCUCAGCAAGUUUAGAGAUCCACCAUUAAAGCCACUUGCUGUAUAAAUUCCUGGGCAGCUCUUUGGUACCAUGACCUGCUCAUGAGCACCCAUGCCCAGAUAGCUCCUGCCUCUGCCUCUCCAGGAGGACAGGGCAUGGAAAUUGCCGUGCAGGAGCCAAUUCAUACGGUACUGUUCUGGUCUGGUGUGGGUUUUGGUCAGGAGCCCCAGAAGAGCUGGAAAUAAGAAACCAUCUUCCUCCCAUCAUCAUCUGGGACAGACUCCAGGAUUUGUAAGUCUCCAGUUCAGCUGAGAUUCUCGACUGUUUCGUGGGGACUCUAAACCUACCUGUCCCUUCUUGGCGGACAAGCUUUGCUAAGGAUGGGAAAAAUCAACUGUGAAUGGAAGUAAAAAGCAUGGAGAGCCAGACUUUGUUGUUGUUAUCCACAACACCUUGCUGUCUGGGUUUGGCUGUCUGUCAUGGCCUGGGGAGGAUAUUCUCCAACCAUAACAAACGCACUGCAGGAGAUGCAAGGAAGAUCUUCAGUCUCUUUACUCGCACCGCUCGCACUCCUGAGGUUGCCAUCCAGUUUUAUGCUCUGUGCUAAUUGCAUUGCUGGGGUUCUGGGGGCCGCGAACAAAAUCAUUUGUAAGAGCCACUGUGAAACAGGGCAAAUCAGCCUGCAUGGUGCUCCUUCCUCCUGCAGCUAAACUGUUUCUCAUAAUUUAAAGUUAUCUCGCACGCGGUGAUACUGCACCACAGUCUGCGGCACACAGCAGAGACCCAGAAAACCAUCGCUCAAGCUACUCCCUGCCACUAAGACAGGGAGCAGGUGAGGGGAUGGUGGCAUCUUCAUUUCCUCGCUGCACAGGCUCUCCCAUGUUCUUGUGCUGCAGGGAGGAACAAGCCUGGUCCUUUCCUCCAGGUAACUGUAAUCUGUUACAGAUCUGUAGUACAGUGGGAGAGGGAGAAUUUGUUUGAGGGGGUGCUGGGUUUUCAGGCUCUGGCAGAGAUAUCUGUUUUACAAAACUCCUUGCCCAGCAGCUUACAGGGGAUGAAGUAGAAUAAUCCUGUGAAAUCCUCACUUCUUGGGUCUGGCAGGCAGGGUUUCAGGUCUCACAGCAGCUGAGGGCUCACACAGUACCUGCACAGCAGCCCAUGGGCCAGGCUGGGGGCUGCAGCAUCCCAGCUGCUCGGGCUCUGUCUUCAGCAGGUAGGGAUUGGAGCCAGAGGGUCUUCAUGGGCACUCAGCUGUACCCAUGCCACAUAGCUGUGAGUAUGUGCAGCGUGCUGGGGAAAGAAGGGGAAAAGCAACCCCCUCACAACACUCACCUACGUAUGAAAACAGGGAGCAGAGUUAGAUGAUGAGAGCGCUCCCAUCUUGUCCACAAGAGCGUGAUCCUGAAUUCAUAACUGCCGAAGUGUUGAAGAGACAGAAAAGCACCUGCAGCUAAGCUUCAGUUGUGUGCAGCUGAAAAUAAAAAGGAGUUGGAUGGAUAAGAUAAGAUUAAGAAAGUUGAGACGCUGGAUGAAACCACUGAGCCUAUGUCCCUGCUCCAAGUGGGAUCAAAUAUACCUGUAGCACUGCCAGAUCUCCUCCUAAAAUCCUCCAGUAGCAGAGAGCUCCCAGUCCCCCUAAGGAUUAGAAGCCAGCCUUGGAUUUUUGGCCAAUAUCUAACUUAAAUCUGCCAUUAUGCAGGGUCUAGUUAAUUCUUUCUUGAGAAGUGUUCAAAGGGAAUAACUGGUCCUUGUCCUUUCUUGGACAAUCUUUCACCUGCUGGUGAACUAUUAUCAAAUCUCCCUUCGGAGCUUCUAGAGGGACCAACCCGAGCUGUUUCUGAUAGGUUACGUUCCCUAAAUCUCUUAUAUUCUUGUUGCUCCUUUUUAAAGUCACCCAGAACUAGAUCCAGUUCUCCAGCUGGGUGAAGACCGGUGCCUUGCAGAGCCGAAUAAAUCCCUGUUGCAUAUGAGGUACUUACAUCCACUCCCACCUUGGUGUCAUCCGCAAAUUUUAUAAGUGCACUCUCCACUCCAUCAUCUCUGAGGAUGGCAAGAAGGUACCAAACCAGAAGGUGCUCAUCCUGCCUUUACCUGAUGCUGUUUUUCCUAUGUGGGGUUGUUUUCAUGCCUGGAGAGCCAAAGGGAAUGAUGAGAUGGAAACUCCCCAUCUUUCCUCUCUCUCCCUUCAUGAGCAAUGAUACGAGCUUGUGGCUGAUCAAAUCCAGCAGCUGAAGUACCAGUGGGAUCCUGAAUGUAUUUGGUGUCCCAUCAAAUUCUUUGAUACAGCUAUACAACAACUCAAUGUUUUAGUGAGUAUCGUUAAAAACCAGCUCUCAUGGGUGUAUUGGGCCUGCUGAUGUUUUCUUGGCUUUUGGAGCAGAAAAUCUAACUAAAAUAAUAAUUGUAAGAACUGCCUCAUUUUUUCCUGUUUAUUAUUGUUACUCAAGCACAUGGUAUGCCUGAAGGUAGGCUGGCCAAGAAAGGAGUGUAGACAAACUAAGAGCAAGCAAACACUAUGGAGAGCCAGCACAGAGCAUCAUGAUCCAGCCCAGGAAAACUCCAGCUGCUGGGUUAAUUAUUGUUAUUUAGUCACAUGCCAGAAAGCAUGUGAUUAAUUGCAGCAAGAAAACGCACUGCCCUUCGUUGACUUUAAAAAGGACUCUGCUUGCCAGGAAGAAAGAUGAAAUUUGCGAAGUUAAUAAGCUGAAAUAGAAACAAGGAAGCGGGAGAUAAAGCUGACAGUGGUUCUGCAGCAGGUGAGGCUUCCCAUUGCAUCCAGCCCCUGCCAAGAUCUCAUCGGAGAGCAGGAAAACCAUGACACCCAAGCACGGAGGAUGCUGCUUUUGUGCUGGCUGAGAUCCUCUAACAGUGGCUUCACAGAGCCCUGGGGAAGGGCAGGAGCCAAGGGAGUUAUUUCUUGAGUUCAGGGUUUCCCCGCGGUGUGUAGGUGUGUGCCUGGCUAGCGUGCUGUGACAUGAGCCCCUUCCUGACGGGAUCCUUGCCUUCAGGUGCGGCGUGCGCAGCUUCGCACCGCUCUGUCCUCUCGUCAGCAGGAGCUCUGGGUCUGAACUGCUCCAGGGCAUGGAGCAGGCGUGAGCCCGAAAGGGCAGAUGACUCAGAGAGAUCAGGCUUUAGGUGCGGAAAUGCCGGGCUUGGCAGAGGCUCUGCUGGUUAGAAGUAGUGCUUCUGUUGGUGCAGUGGGAAGACGCGUCCCUUGUGCUGGGCUGUCCCACCACAAUCAGGAUAUGCCUGUGUGUACCCAAGCAGAAGGCAUGCCCUCUCUUCUCAUUCUCCCCUCCUCUUCUCCCUCUCCCCGGGAAAGCUGGUUCUGUUUUUCCACUUCCACCAGUUUCUCCCUGUCGCAGAGACGUGGCCUUCUGCAGAGUUACUCCCAGUUUACACCAGUGCACGUGAGAUGGCAAUCAAAGUCUCUUUCUCUCAGACUUGAAGAAGGAAUGACCUUGCUGGGGAUUUUCUGAUGCCAAAAAUAUUAUUUUGGUAGUGAAGGCCUCAUUUACACCUGCAUGCACUGGAAGUUUGCAAGUGAAACUAAAAUCAUUAUAUGGCCACCUCUCCAUGUGGUGCAUGUGUCUCUCAGCUCAGCAAUAGUUCGGAAAGCCUGAGACAUCAGUGGAGGAUACUGCAGUAGAAUGAGAAAGGAAAAAAGAUCUUCACCUCAGUUCACAAACCUGCACGCCUUCAGCUUACAGAAACAUGACAGAAAGGUCUUCUGUUUGCUGUUUGCCUUCUUGGAGGAAAACACUUGCUACUCUACCUGAAACUCUUGAAAGAACAAAGGGCAUGGAAAAUACAUGGUCUCUCUGGUGCGAUCGCAGUUUCUCUUUUAAAUUAUUUCGUGUGAUAGGCACUGGGGCCAAGUUCAUUAUGGUUCAGGAGUGUUACACAGAGGGUGGAUCUGGCUACCUCUGCUGGAAGUGGAAUGCUGUAAAAGUAAUUUCUCCUGAUUUGUUGGUUUUGGCCCUCUUUUCAGAAACAAUGUAUUUCGUGAUUUCAACAGAUGAUGAUAAAGGUUUGAAGCCAAAAGGGUCAUAAAGGCUACAAGGGGGUCAAUUUCCUUCCCCUGUGGUGAGUGAGCCUAUUUACUGUCUGUUCCAACGUACUGAAAAAUUAUAUUUGGGAGAAAUCAAUAUACAACUUCUAGAGGGUAUGUGAACCGAAAUAGCUGUGAGCAUCUCUUUUCUUCCUUACAUGAAAUAUGCUCAUGAGUGUGAUACAGAAGACCUGUGUAAUUUGUUAUAAUGACUGUGGGAUCCAAACAACAGUUUACAAAUUGGCAAAUUUGCAAAAGAACAUGAUAAAGUAAUCUGUUUAGUGAUAAUGUGUGCUGUGUGAAAAUACUACUUUUAAUUCCACAAUGUAAAAUAUUCUUGAGCAAUAUCUGGGAGUACAACCUAUAGUGUUGAUAAAAAUGCAUCACUGGGGGUUCUUUGUUUAGCCAUGGUUGUAAUGCAAAAAGCAGGCAUGGUGGUAGGGCAGGAGUGUGUGCAGUGGAGUCCUUCACCAGGCUUGGAGGAGACUCUGGAGGUAAGCACCACUGCUGACAUCAGGCUGGACUGUGCACCAGGAUGGGUAGCAGGGGUAGCUUGCUACAGGCAGCACGCUGGUUUUGAGGCAUGGGCUGCACUGUGUGCAUCUGAGUGGGAGCCAGCACUGUGAACACAGAAGAAUGUGAAGAAUAUAUAUAUAUAUAUAUAUAUAUAUAUAUAAAGUGAAUCAAAACCAUCUGAGCUGUAUUCAGCUUGUCUGCUACGGCACCUCUGGAAGUAACUCACUGUCAGUGAUUUAGGAUGCUUCUCCGGGAAAUGGGAGACCUGCUUUCAGUGGCUUAGGCUGAAAGCACUUUCUUUAACACCUACUGCAAGGGAAGUGGGGAAGAAGUAAGGAGAUGUUUUCCACUUUCCAGCUGAAACUGAAGUAUUGUAUAGCAAGGAAAGGUCUUCUCUGGCUGCCCUGCUGGAUCACGUACAGUCACAGAAGAGAAGCAUUUACAAUACCUAGGUUAAGUACUUGUUAAGCAUCACUUUCUCCCAGCCGUCUGUACAAGAAGCCAGGGUCUGACAUCCUGGGGACCUGGCCAUCUGAAUCACUUACCGUUCUUCUCACUUCAGGUGCUGCACACAGAUAGUCUGAAUAUGGCCCGGUGACUUUGGAAGAAAAAGCUCUAUAUGGCUUCCUUGUACACUCAGCUCCCUUCCUAACACAAUUCUAUCAUUCCUCUUUCCAUUUUAUCUUUCUUUUUUCCCUCAUUCCCUCACAUUUCCUGUGCUUAGCUGAUGAUGGUUCCAAUAGCUAGGAAAGACUUUAUUUAGAGAGAUAAGCAAAAACCGCUUCUGGCAGAACACUUUGACUGGGGGAAAUCUCAUUCUUCGUCUCCAGGAAUCUUACUGUAGGCUAAUUUAGCAUCAGUUUCUGUGCUUUGUUAUAUCACAGAUAGAUAGCCUCACAUUACUUGACUGUAGCCUUACUGAUCUGGAUUAUGAGUUUGAACAGAUAAAGCACCAACUGAGAUUACAGAGCCAUUGUGUGAUGUGUUCAUAUUCAUCUUUGUCGCUCAAAAAUAGGCUGCUGUACUAUGCAUUAGCACUCAGUAUUUACCCCUAGACUCAAAUGCCUUACAUUGCUAUGGCUGCACACCACCACGAUGCAGUCGUGCUGGAGAGGAGAGGAUGGAAUUUCCUGCCCUGUCUCAGACCAUAGAUCAUCAGUCUUUACCACUCCUGGCAGCAGUGAGGAAUCCGGCAUGACCUUAAGAAUUCAGAUAAAUGCAGCGAACAGGGAUCAAAUUACCUCAAUCAAAGGUGAGGUCAUUGUUUCAGCAAGGCUCUCUCCACAGCUGAUUCUCUCUUCCAUCUAUCAUCACCCCCCUGUGAGAGAUGCUUCUGAGCCAUAUCACAUUUUGAAAUCUGAUCAUCAGCCUCCAGAAUGCCACAAGAGGUUUGUUUUGUGCUGCUGAAGUUCAGUGCAACCCGCUAAGUGACUCAGCUCAGGAAGAAUCGCUGGCAGUGGGACAGUAGUUUGUGCUGGCUGCUGCCAUCUUUAGCAGGAGGCCGACCAAAGGCUGAGUUGUUCUUUCUUUGUCUUCACCACCCUAGGAAAAGGAUCCGUUUCCUCUGUUCAUAAAACCAAAAAACUGCAAGGAAUGUUGAACCUUCAACUUUAAUAGGGAGGAAGGACUUCCAGAUUUGGAUCGUUUGCCUUGGGAGCACAUGGGCUUAAGCUGAUCCUGGAAGCCUGUGAAAGAAAAUACGGCAUUUGCUGUAUCUGCAUUGCGUGACAUAAUGCGUCGAUUGAUCUCUGGUGGGGAAACAGCAUAAAAAAAAAAACCCUGCUACCAGGGGAAAGAGUCCUUGCUUCGUGCUUUAAAACCAAAGAUGCUGCCUUAUCAAUAUCGAAGUCUGGGAUGAGGUAACUUUAGCUCUAACAGGCCCGAACGCAUUCAGACCUUGCACGGCACGCUCCGUGGUCAGGCAGGAUGACACACACUUUUCAAGGUAAAAUGCGCAUGAUACAGUAUUUGCUACUUGGGGUUUUAACAGCUCAAAUAACACUCUUGGAGGGUUGAAAGAUUUUCUGGAAGUGAGCCACUCUAGAAUGCUAUUGCCAGCACGUCUGCCUACUCUGGGUAGCAUCAGAAACUGUGCUGAAAAAUUAAACAAACAUAGUUCUUGGCAUCUAAACAGAUGGGAAAGGACAUGUUGACUCCCAAGUCUUUAGCUGAGGAGGUAGGCUGUUUCUCAUUGUUACCACUGUGCAGUGAGGAAUUGCAAAACACCCACAUAGAUUUUCAGACCUGCUAGCUGCACUUAACCUUUAAUCCUGCAAGUACUCAGCCAUGAGCAUAUAAUUUUAAACAUCUGAGUAGUCCGACUGACUCCGAUGGGAAUAUGCACUGAAUGAAGUUAAACAUUUGCAUAAAUGUUUGCAGGAUCAGGAUCUUUCGCUACAAACGCAAUUCUUUCAAUACAAACACAAGCGCAGCUCAGGCUGGGUAUUCAGCCCAAGCUCUCAAUGUACUAAUAAACCUAUAUCCCUGCAGAUGUAUUUUAAAUUUCAUGCUAAUGUGUGGUUCCUGUGUCAUAACACAUCUUGCUAAUGAGUUUCUUGAGAGAGGAGUGAUAUACUUUCUGACAUAACCGCAUGGUUUUGAAAAACUAUAAUCUGCAAUGGAUCAGUAACACAUCAGCUUCUGUAUAUCAAAGAGGUUCCAGACAGCAUGAUUGGAAUUGGGGCCUUUUAAAGUCUUUCAAACCUAUUUUCUGAGUUUUAGUCCUGAUCUGAAAAUCCUCAUUCCUGUCUUUCCAAGUGCAAGAUUGCUUGCAUGAGUAAGGAACUGACUCACUUAUUCCUAAAGGUGAGGACUACUUUCCGUUCCCACUGCUGGAGGAUUCAUUUACCUCUGAGUAGGUCCUUUAAUUCCAGAAAAGGAUGAGCAAUUUUUGUGCUCUUUACUUACAAGAAAAUGAACACUGACACCCUGAACUAGACUCUGAUCUGGGCUGUACCUGUUUUUAUGCCUGCUCUCAAACGAAUACAGCGAGCUAACCUCUGGUUUGCAGCCUAGCCUAACUGGAUCAGAAUUUAGCCUAUUGAAUCUAGGUGUCCGCAUUACAGAUCAAAGGAAAAGUUUUGAUGAUUCCUUCUGCAAAUGUCACCCCUAUUUGCACUCUCACAUGAUUGAUCUCUCUUUUGUUUAAAGUGCUGUGGUUGAUACAGAAACAUUUAUAAUCUGUGAUUCAUUCUAGCAAUGCUGCUCUUAAAAUAUGCUAAUAUUUUCUUCUGAAAUGCACUGGAAAAAAAAACAUUUUAAAAAAAUGUCUUUUUUUUUUUUCUUGACUUCCUUGCUUUAAUUGAAAUGGUUGGGUUGAUUUUUUUUUUUUUCAGUUUUGCUUUGCUGACUAAACAUGUUAAGACUUUUGAGGCAAAGAAGUAUGUGCAUGCGAAUGUGGCGUAACAGAACAGGCAGCUUUUCCUAGAGUUAAAGCUAUAUAACAUUUUCCAUUCUAAACUUCUGUGCUUCCUGUGGUCUCUGAAAUAAAAAUACUUCAGGAUGAAAUCUUCUGGCUUUGGACUUUGUCCAAAUGUGAAUAUUUUGGAAGGAUCUGAACGAAACUGGUUCAGCCAGUUCAGAAUAUCAGAAGAGUCAAAGACAACAACAAUUAAAAAGUGUUCUUUCAGCUAAAUAGAUCCUUACGGCCUUUCUUGAGCAUUUCUGCAACUUUAUCAGCAGACGGCUGACAAGUGAACUCUGACACGGA